CAGGCUUUGGGACCUUAGUUGCUAUUCUGGGUUGUUUCCCUCUCGACUAUGAAGCUUAUCCCCCACAGUCUCACUGCCACGCUCUCACUUACCGGCAUUCGGAGUUUGGCUGAUGUUGGUAAGCUUGUAGGCCCCCUCGACCAUCCAGUAGCUCUACCUCCGGUAAGAAACACGUGACGCUGCACCUAAAUGCAUUUCGGAGAGAACCAGCUAUCACGAAGUUUGAUUGGCCUUUCACCCCUACACACAGCUCAUCCCCUAAUUUUUCAACAUUAGUGGGUUCGGUCCUCCACGCGGUCUUACCCGCGCUUCAACCUGGCCAUGCGUAGAUCACCUCGCUUCGGGUCUAGAUCAUGCAACUCAUUCGCCCUAUUCAGACUCGCUUUCGCUACGGCUUCCCCUCGACGGGUUAACCUCGCUACAUGACACUAACUCGUAGACUCAUUCUUCAAAAGGCACGCUGUCACUACUCAAGGUAGCUCCAACGGCUUGUACGCACACGGUUUCAGAUUCUAUUUCACUCCCCUUUCGGGGUUCUUUUCACCUUUCCCUCACGGUACUAGUCCGCUAUCGGUCAUCAGAGAGUAUUUAGGCUUAGCGGGUGGUCCCGCCAGAUUCAUACCGGAUUCCUCGAGUCCGGUAUUACUUGGGAUACCAAUAAUGAGUUAAAAGUGUUUCGGCUACGGGGAUCUCACCCUCUGUGUCUGGCUUUCCCACGCCAUUCACCUACACAAUUAAUUUCUGACUCAUUGAAGCAACGGCAGUCGCUUCUAACUGGUCCCACAACCCCAACACUGCAACGCCUGCCGGCUUGGCACAGUAUUGGUUUGGCCUCUUCCGCGUUCGCUCGCCACUACUAACGGAAUCACGGUUGUUUUCUCUUCCUGUGGGUACUGAGAUGUUUCACUUCCCCACGUUCCCUUUAUCUACCCUAUAUAUUCAGAUAGAAAUAACUGGACAUUACUCCAGCUGGGUUUCCCCAUUCGGAAAUCCUCGGAUCAAAGCUCGUUUGACAGCUCCCCGAGGCUUAUCGCAGCCUACUACGUCCUUCAUCGGCUUCUGAUGCCAAGGCAUCCGCCAUGUGCGCUUAAUAAUUUGACCACAAAGAUGCUCGCGUCCACUGUGUAGUUCUCAAAAUACGGGCGGUACUCAAUAAAGCCUUGAAGACCUUGGACCGAAAUCCUGGUUUCUUCGCCUUAUUAAGCCCAGAGGUUUGGCAUUUUCAGCCGUCCCCUCAGGACCCAACAACGUGCCUAGUUAAUUUUCACUCAGAGCUAAGUUUCCACUCCCACGAAUGGGUUGUACUAAUAGAUGAUUUUUUAAACAAACCUAAGUCAAUGCUCCACUUAUGAGCUCACAUGUUUAUUGCUGAAACCUAUGUCCAGCACAUGUGAAUGCUCCUUAGAAAGGAGGUGAUCCAGCCGCACCUUCCGGUACGGCUACCUUGUUACGACUUCGUCCCAAUCACCGAUCCCACCUUCGGCAGCUCCCUCCUUGCGGUUGGG
Molecule: ribosomal RNA, 1505 nt
Filed under: uncultured Actinomycetes bacterium
Lineage: Bacteria; Bacillati; Actinomycetota; Actinomycetes
Description: uncultured actinobacterium 16S ribosomal RNA
Source: RNAcentral